AUUGAACGCUGGCGGCAUGCCUUACACAUGCAAGUCGAACGGCAGCACGGGGGCAACCCUGGUGGCGAGUGGCGAACGGGUGAGUAAUAUAUCGGAACGUACCCUGGAGUGGGGGAUAACGUAGCGAAAGUUACGCUAAUACCGCAUACGAUCUAAGGAUGAAAGUGGGGGAUCGCAAGACCUCAUGCUCCUGGAGCGGCCGAUAUCUGAUUAGCUAGUUGGUGGGGUAAAGGCCUACCAAGGCAUCGAUCAGUAGCUGGUCUGAGAGGACGACCAGCCACACUGGGACUGAGACACGGCCCAGACUCCUACGGAGGCAGCAGUGGGGAAUAUUGGACAAUGGGCGAAAGACCUGAUCCAGCAAUGCCGCGUGAGUGAUGAAGGCCUUAGGGUUGUAAAGCUCUUUUACCCGAGAUGAUAAUGACAGUAUCGGGAGAAUAAGCUCCGGCUAACUCCGUGCCAGCAGCCGCGGUAAU
Molecule: ribosomal RNA, 476 nt
Filed under: uncultured bacterium
Lineage: Bacteria
Description: bacterial SSU rRNA
Rfam family: Bacterial small subunit ribosomal RNA
Source: RNAcentral